Trichonephila inaurata madagascariensis is the source of this 67-nucleotide non-coding RNA. NCBI's taxonomy places the organism in Eukaryota, Metazoa, Arthropoda, Arachnida, Araneae, Nephilidae. The record is from the annotation of a GenBank genome assembly.
GCAGCGCAAUGGAGAGCGCGUUGAACUUCUAGUCCAAAGGUCGGGGUUUCGAAUCCCUCCGGAAAUG